Long non-coding RNA from Brassica napus (rape), 1468 nucleotides. RefSeq lists it as uncharacterized. Lineage: Eukaryota; Viridiplantae; Streptophyta; Magnoliopsida; Brassicales; Brassicaceae. The transcript has 7 exons. The record is from RefSeq and is a predicted model, not a curated record.
GAUACGGGCUUUAUUGUUUUAUGGGCUUUAUGUUUUGCUUAAGGGACCAAGCCGAUAUGGAACACACUAAGCGUCUCCGUAAGCGUCGAUUGAUCUGAUUUUAGGGUUCAUCCCACUUUUGUUUUCCGUCAUUCAUGAGAUCGGACGCUGCCCCUCCACCGUUCAAGUGCGAUUGCUCCGGUUCUGGGAAGCUAGGAACGUCCGGUGGCGACGAAUUCAUGGGAGUGGAUUGCUCCUAUUGGAUUCACAGGUUGUUAUGUAUAAAGCUUGCGUUCAUAAUUCAAAAAAAAAAAAUCUGGAGGUAAGCCUCGCCGCGCCUCGGUAGCAUGCUUCUAGCACAAAGAAGCUCCCACCUGAGUAAAUCUUUAUCGGAGUCUGGAUGCACACUUCGUGAUGUCAUGAAUUCAGUGACACAUUGACCUUAAGUAACGUGAAGAUGAUUUGCCAACAUAAAGACAUCAUACGUCAAGAAAAAUUCAAGAAAGCAGUGCAGUGUGAGAAGUCAGGCAACAACAUUGAUCUAUAAGAACGUUGAGGCAUAUCAAGUCGUGGAUUGUAAGUGGAAGCAAAAGGAUUUUGGUAAUUUUGGUUAGUGACUCAAAUCUUUUACCUUCUCUUCAUAUGGCUUAUUUAGCUGGAUCAAAAGCGUUCAACAUCAAUGUUUCCGUCUCCUCCAGUUGAAUAUUUUAUGUACUAUGGAUGCUACAGUUAAAUUGAAUUACAGAAGCAGAGGUUCUAGGCUUUUAGCUAUCAAGACACUCAAUUGGAUAGGACUUAGCUGGCAGCAUCUUUGAAUGAUCUUUAUACGAACGACAUGGAAAAGCUUUCUGGGUCAAUCAAACGCAUAUGGUACAAAUUGAUACUCCACUGAAUGAGCGGAACGCAAGGCUUCUAAUGAUGGUUCUACUUCUCCACCACAAGGGAGCUGCGAAAAUAGGGUCAAACUUCCAAUGAAUUAAGGUAAAUCAUAAGAGAAACCUCAUCCAAACCAUUGUGUCAACAGAGAAUAGAAGUUCUAAUUUUUGGAAUCAGCUUUCCAUUUAUCAUGCAGGUCUGAUUAAUGUUUUUGUCACAGGUUGUUCUCAACUCUGAUUGUGCUAUGUACAAUACAAGUGAUUAUCUCAAGCUGUCUAAUUAUUUCUCUAACGAUCUGUUUCUUUGUUGAGGGAAGUAGUCGAAGAAGAUUUCACAGCCUUUGUUGGGAGACCAAAUAAGAGACCAAGAACUAACUGUUCAGAAGCAAAUGAAUAGGAAGUAACACAUGCUCUUAUGACACCCUGAGGCUGCGGAAACAUGAUUAAAGGUGUCAUUCCUUGCCUCCUUGGUUUCUUCAAUUUUUUUUUUGGUUUCUUCGGUUUGUCCACGAAAUACUUUGUGUUCUACUUUUGAAUCUUUUCAGUUGUAAAAAGGAAGAAUAAUAUAGCAAUGUACCCAUUUUAAUAAAUGAAAAUGUAAUCUCCCAUGGCAA